UACGGAGGGGGCUAGCGUUGUUCGGAAUUACUGGGCGUAAAGCGCACGUAGGCGGCUUUGCAAGUUAGAGGUGAAAGCCCGGGGCUCAACUCCGGAAUUGCCUUUAAAACUGCAUCGCUAGAAUUGUGGAGAGGUAAGUGGAAUUCCGAGUGUAGAGGUGAAAUGCGUAGAGAUCCGGAGGAACACCGAAGGCGAAGGCAGUGUCCUGGGGAGUACCUGACGCUCAGGUGCGAAAGCCAGGGGAGCGAACGGG
RNAcentral lists this ribosomal RNA (253 nucleotides) under uncultured bacterium. RNAcentral describes it as "partial 16S ribosomal RNA". It matches the Rfam family "Bacterial small subunit ribosomal RNA", at positions 524 to 776 of the family's 1533-position model. The record is from RNAcentral.